Nomascus leucogenys (northern white-cheeked gibbon) is the source of this 104-nucleotide long non-coding RNA. RefSeq lists it as uncharacterized. The transcript has 3 exons. The record is from RefSeq and is a predicted model, not a curated record. NCBI's taxonomy places the organism in Eukaryota, Metazoa, Chordata, Mammalia, Primates, Hylobatidae.
UUCAAGACGUAGGCACAGGCAAAGAUUUCAUGAUGAAGAUGCCAAAAGCAAUUGCAACGAAAGCAAAAAGUGACAACUGGGAUCUAAUUAAACUAAAGACCUUC